CCUGACUGCUAUCGGAUUGAUACUAAGCCAUGCGAGUCAUUGUAGUAAUACAAGGCGGACGGCUCAGUAACGCGUAGUCAACCUAACCUAUGGACGGGAAUAACCUCGGGAAACUGAGUAUAAUGCCCGAUAGAACAUUAUGCCUGGAAUGGUUUAUGUUCCAAAUGAUUUAUCGCCGUAGGAUGGGACUGCGGCCUAUCAGUUUGUUGGUGAGGUAAUGGCCCACCAAGACUAUUACAGGUACGGGCUCUGAGAGGAGUGGCCCGGAGAUGGGUACUGAGACACGGACCCAGGCCCUAUGGGGCGCAGCAGGCGAGAAAACUUUGCAAUGUGCGAAAGCACGACAAGGUUAAUCCGAGUGGUUUCUGCUAAAGGAACCUUUUGUCGGUCCUAGAAACACCGAUGAAUAAGGGGUGGGCAAGUUCUGGUGUCAGCCGCCGCGGUAAAACCAGCACCUCAAGUGGUCAGGAUGAUUAUUGGGCCUAAAGCAUCCGUAGCCGGCUUUGUUAGUUUUCGGUUAAAUCUGUACGCUUAACGUACAGGCUGCCGGGAAUACUGCAAAGCUAGGGAGUGGGAGAGGUAGACGGUACUCGGUAGGAAGGGGUAAAAUCCUUUGAUCUAUUGAUGACCACCUGUGGCGAAGGCGGUCUACCAGAACACGUCCGACGGUGAGGGAUGAAAGCUGGGGGAGCAAACCGGAUUAGAUACCCGGGUAGUCCCAGCUGUAAACUAUGCAAACUCAGUGAUGCAUUGGCUUGUGGCCAAUGCAGUGCUGCAGGGAAGCCGUUAAGUUUGCCGCCUGGGAAGUACGUACGCAAGUAUGAAACUUAAAGGAAUUGGCGGGGGAGCACCACAAGGGGUGAAGCCUGCGGUUC
Molecule: ribosomal RNA, 875 nt
Filed under: uncultured marine group I thaumarchaeote
Lineage: Archaea; Thermoproteati; Nitrososphaerota
Description: bacterial SSU rRNA
Rfam family: Archaeal small subunit ribosomal RNA
Source: RNAcentral